AAUGAACGUUGGCGGCAUGGAUUAGGCAUGCAAGUCGAGCGCGAUGGGAAUUUUGCUUGGAAAAAACCCGGAAAGCGGCGAAAGGGAGAGUAACAGGUAGAUACCUACCUCCAGGCUGGCAAUAGCGUCGGGAAACUGGCGGUAAUGCCCAAUAACAUCUACGGAUCAAAGCUCCGGCGCCUGGAGAUGGGUCUGCUCACUAUUAGCUAGUUGGUAAGGUAAUGGCUUACCAAGGCGACGAUGGUUAGCGGGCGUGAGAGCGUGGCCCGUCUCACUGGGACUGAGACACUGCCCAGACACCUACGGGUGGCUGCAGUCGAGAAUCUUCGGCAAUGGACGCAAGUCUGACCGAGCGAUGCCGCGUGCGGGAUGAAGGCCUUCGGGUUGUAAACCGCUGUCAGAGGGAAGGAAAUUUUGACCAAACCUCAGAGGAAGGUCGGGCUAAGUUCGUGCCAGCAGCCGCGGUAAGACGAACCGACCGAACGUUAUUCGGAAUUACUGGGCUUAAAGGGUGCGUAGGCGGCCAUGUAAGUCAGAUGU
Molecule: ribosomal RNA, 540 nt
Filed under: uncultured bacterium
Lineage: Bacteria
Description: bacterial SSU rRNA
Rfam family: Bacterial small subunit ribosomal RNA
Source: RNAcentral